CGAACGCUGGCGGCAUGCCUAACACAUGCAAGUCGAACGAGACCUUCGGGUCUAGUGGCGCACGGGUGCGUAACGCGUGGGAACCUGCCCUUAGGUUCGGAAUAACUCCCCGAAAGGGGUGCUAAUACCGGAUAAUGUCUUCGGACCAAAGAUUUAUCGCCUUUGGAUGGGCCCGCGUUGGAUUAGCUAGUUGGUAGGGUAAAAGCCUACCAAGGCGACGAUCCAUAGCUGGUCUGAGAGGAUGAUCAGCCACACUGGGACUGAGACACGGCCCAGACUCCUACGGGAGGCAGCAGUGGGGAAUAUUGGACAAUGGGCGAAAGCCUGAUCCAGCAAUGCCGCGUGAGUGAUGAAGGCCUUAGGGUUGUAAAGCUCUUUUACCCGGGAUGAUAACGACAGUACCGGGAGAAUAAGCUCCGGCUAACUCCGUG
Molecule: ribosomal RNA, 431 nt
Filed under: uncultured bacterium
Lineage: Bacteria
Description: partial 16S ribosomal RNA
Rfam family: Bacterial small subunit ribosomal RNA
Source: RNAcentral